UAAGGAAUAUUGGUCAAUGGACGCAAGUCUGAACCAGCCAUGCCGCGUGGAGGAUGAAGGUCCUCUGGAUUGUAAACUUCUUUUAUCUGGGAAGAAAUGCAUUUUUUCUAGAAUGCUUGACGGUACCAGGUGAAUAAGGAUCGGCUAACUCCGUGCCAGCAGCCGCGGUAAUACGGAGGAUCCAAGCGUUAUCCGGAAUCAUUGGGUUUAAAGGGUCCGUAGGCGGUUUUGUAAGUCAGUGGUGCAAGCCCAUCGCUCAACGGUGGAACGGCCAUUGAUACUGCAAGACUUGAAUUAUUAGGAAGUAACUAGAAUAUGUAGUGUAGCGGUGAAAUGCUUAGAUAUUACAUGGAAUACCAAUUGCGAAGGCAGGUUACUACUAAUGGAUUGACGCUGAUGGACGAAAGCGUGGGGAGCGAACAGGAUUAGAUACCCUGGUAGUCCACGCCGUAAACGAUGGAUACUAGCUGUUCGAGAGCAAUCUUGAGUGGCUAAGCGAAAGUGAUAAGUAUCCCACCUGGGGAGUACGUUCGCAAGAAUGC
This 542-nucleotide ribosomal RNA is filed under the name uncultured Flavobacterium sp. RNAcentral's name for it is "bacterial SSU rRNA". It matches the Rfam family "Bacterial small subunit ribosomal RNA", at positions 355 to 897 of the family's 1533-position model. Lineage: Bacteria; Pseudomonadati; Bacteroidota; Flavobacteriia; Flavobacteriales; Flavobacteriaceae. The record is from RNAcentral.